GCUUAGUUUAGGGUUUAAAACCCUAAUGCUGGCUGAAAGGAAAAAUCCAGUUUAGGGUUUAAAACCCUAAUGCUGAUUGCAUGGAAAAGCUCAGUUUAGGCUUUAAAACCCUAAUGCUGGCUGAAUGGAAAAAAGUUUAGUUUAGGGUUUAAAACCCUAAUGCUGACUAAAGGAAAAAUUCAGUUUAGGGUUUAAAAUCCUAAUGCUGAUUGCAUGGAAAAGCUCAGUUUAAGGUUUAAAACCCUAAUGCUGGCUUAAUGGAAAAAGUUCAGUUUAGGUUUUAAAACCCUAACGCUGACUAAAAGGAAAAUUCAGUUUAGGGUUUAAAACCCUAAUGUUGAUGGCUGGAAAAGCUCAGUUUAGGGUUUAAAACCCUAAUGUUGGCUGCAUGGAAAAAGUUCAAUUUAGGGUUUAAAACCCUAAUGCUGACAUGCAUGGAAAAGCUCAGUUUAGGGUUUAAAACCCUAAUGCUGGCUGAAUGGAAAAAGUUCAGUUUGGGUUUAAAACCCUAAUGCUGACUGGAAGGAAAAGCUCAGUUUAGGGUUUAAAACCCUAAUGCUGGCUGAAGGAAAAAGUUCAGUUUAGGGUUUAAAACCCUAAUGCUGAUGGCUGGGGACAAAAUUCGAGAACAACCACUGACUUCUUUUUUUUUUAAAUUUUCGUACUUUAGUAAAAGAAAUAAAAGGGAGUUUCGUGGAACCUUACCUUUCGAGUGAAUUCCUUAUUACCAAAAUGUUUCUUGUACCCAUGUACCUUCUUCUUUGGUCGACACCUGCCUCUUGCACGGUUGUCUUGGAUUAAGCCUGUUUCAACCUUUCCGACGAAGAAU
Molecule: long non-coding RNA, 829 nt
Filed under: Nicotiana tabacum (common tobacco)
Lineage: Eukaryota; Viridiplantae; Streptophyta; Magnoliopsida; Solanales; Solanaceae
Description: long non-coding RNA (NTAB_LNC018001)
Source: RNAcentral